RNAcentral lists this unclassified non-coding RNA (207 nucleotides) under Hevea brasiliensis (rubber tree). Lineage: Eukaryota; Viridiplantae; Streptophyta; Magnoliopsida; Malpighiales; Euphorbiaceae. The record is from RNAcentral.
GGACCAGAGGAUCUUCGUACUCAGUCUUGGCUACUCGGGAUCAAUCUGUUGGAGAGUGAUAUCUGAUACUGCUUGAGGUGCUGCAUUUUGUCAUGCAGUAUGCUGCUGUGUGGCUUGAAUAUUUUGAAUCCAGGGCUCUAGAGCGGCAAGAAGUAGCAUGAAAUGGAACUCCAAAGCCAGAUACAUCUAUUGCAAGCAAAGGUCACC